AGUGAACGCUGGCGGUAGGCCUAACACAUGCAAGUCGAACGACAGCUCAGUAAGAGCUUGCUCUUACGGGUGUCGAGUGGCGGACCGGUGCGGAAUACUUCGGAAUCUACUUUUUCGUGGGGGAUAAUGUAGGGAAAUUUACGCUAAUACCGCAUACGUCCUCCUGGUUAAAGCAGGGGAUCUUCGGACCUUGCGUGAUUGAAUGAGCCGAUGUCGGAUGCGCUAGCUGGCGGGGUAAAGGCCCACCAAGGCGACGAUCCGUAUCUGGUAUGAGAGGAAGGACAGACACACUGGAACUGAGACACGGUCCAGACUCCUACGGGAGGCAGCAGUGGGGAAUAUUGGACAAUGGGCGCGAGCCUGAUCCAGCCAUACCGCGUAGGUGAAGAAGGCCUUCGGGUUGGAAAGCCCUUUUGUUGGGAAAGAAAAACAGCAGGUUAAUACCCCGCUGUUCUGACGGUACCCAAAGAAUAAGCACCGGCUAACUUCGUG
RNAcentral lists this ribosomal RNA (492 nucleotides) under uncultured bacterium. Its description in RNAcentral is "partial 16S ribosomal RNA". It matches the Rfam family "Bacterial small subunit ribosomal RNA", at positions 29 to 507 of the family's 1533-position model. The record is from RNAcentral.